Molecule: long non-coding RNA, 244 nt
Filed under: Manihot esculenta (cassava)
Lineage: Eukaryota; Viridiplantae; Streptophyta; Magnoliopsida; Malpighiales; Euphorbiaceae
Description: long non-coding RNA (MESC_LNC003012)
Source: RNAcentral
UUCCUUUUGUCUGCUAGUGACGUACUAAUAGAACGUAUAUCAUUGGUCCACCUGUCCCUGCUACGUUGAUAUGGACGUACGAGGGAAUCAGAUCUCUGCUCCAUGCGUAACGGCCUCUGAUUCUUUCAGGACGCGUAUGCGGGUGGAUCCACACGAGGGACAUGCGGAUCUACUUCCUGGUUCCGGGUUGGGCCAGAGGAUGAGGUACGGGCCGAGCCCAACGAGGAUCGGCUGGUCCAGUCGG